Long non-coding RNA from Alexandromys fortis (reed vole), 1283 nucleotides. RefSeq lists it as uncharacterized. The record is from RefSeq and is a predicted model, not a curated record. Lineage: Eukaryota; Metazoa; Chordata; Mammalia; Rodentia; Cricetidae. The transcript has 3 exons.
AUCUGGGUGGCUAAGACCGAGUCUGAUGGGGGUCUCGCUGCUGGUUCAGCCACCACCACCUGAAACUUUUCUCAGGGGGCUCAGCAGUGGAUGGUGGUCGUACUGUCCUCUAAGCCUGCCCUGACUAUCAUCAGGAAACAACCAGCCAUAGGGACAGUGGACCCUGUUCCUUCUCUGACUAUGGAGCCAUUUAAAAAGCUGUUCUUAAUGUCUUGGUGGAGGCUUCUUCCUAAAUUCUCUCCCAUUUCGGUGGACUGUUGGGCUUGAAUGGACAGCCCAGUCCUGACUAAUUUAACCAGCAGAGGUGGCCGUGGGGAGGGAAGAGAAAGAGGGGGCAACCUGGGAAGUCUGGUGAGUCCAAGUCUCCGAGACCAGCCCCACGGUCCACUGUGGGCAGUGUCAGUCAUGAAAGGUGGGGCUGUGAUGGCCUAGAAAGCUGAGUGUCUGAGCUGGGCUGUGUCCUCACAGCACCUCCAAACUAGCUGGGGGUACUCUACCUCAUAAAGAAGAAGCUGCAGAUUCCAUCUCAGCUUAUUGCAAAGAACAACCUGAAGAGAGAUUUCAACUAGAAAGGAGAGUCAGGGGAUCCUGGAUAACUCAUUGAGCAGAGACAAUCCUGGUCCCUCGAGGGGCCAGUGGCUCCGAAGGGAUUUUGCUGAAAAUCCAGGAAAAUCGUGGGAAACACAAGCCACCUAGCAAGAUGUCUGGUAAAGAAAAAGCCUUUGGUAAAGGAAGAUGGCGACCACUCCUCAUGUGUACGUGGUUACAUGUGUUUGCUGGGUACCUGUCUGAGUGCAGCAGCCCUGUGUAGGAAGAGGAGUUAACAGAACACAGGCGAACACAGGCGGCAAAUCAAGGCCAAGGGAGAGGAGCGUGUGGGCAGGGCAUCUGUGAGGAAUGGUGACCACGACUAAUCCUCCAUUUGGCAUUUCUCAUUUCUGAAUGCUUAAAACUGCUGCCCGGUCUAAAGAAGAUGGAGGCUCUACUGGAGCAAGCUGGUUAAGGAACUGUUAUGGCUGUGACGGCAGACUGAGCUCAGCUAGUCACUGGGACUUAUCAGCUCCUGGAUGCAAAGUCCUGUUGUUUGGACAAUCAAUGGAGCAAUCAUAGGGCGCCGGGGUUUCUAUUAGGAAGUCAUGUGACCAAUGGAAUGUUAAGGAAACAGACUAUGUUAAAUAGCCCCAUUUGGAUCCCUGGGAGCAGACUCUUCAUUCCAUCUUUUUGUGGGGGCCGGAGUGCUGGAGUAGCGGCUCAGACAUAAUUUGCUGAAUAUAAUAAAUGAA